Mus caroli (Ryukyu mouse) is the source of this 1028-nucleotide non-coding RNA. The record is from RefSeq and is a predicted model, not a curated record. NCBI's taxonomy places the organism in Eukaryota, Metazoa, Chordata, Mammalia, Rodentia, Muridae.
AUUCCUCAGUCUGUAUGCAGUGAGAACUGUAGGCCUGGAUUCAGGAAAGCUGCCCAGGAAGGCAAGGCUGUCUGCUGCUUUGAUUGCACUCCCUGUGCAGACAACGAGAUUUCCAACGAGACAGAUAUGGAUCACUGUGUGCAGUGUCCAGAAAGUCACUAUGCAAACUCAGAGAAGAACCACUGCCUCCAGAAAUAUGUGAGCUUUUUGGCCUAUGAAGAGCCCUUGGGAAUGGCACUCACCACUGUGCUUCUCUCUACUCACAGCUGUGGUCCUUGUAGUCUUUGUAAAGCACAGAGACACACCCAUUGUCAAGGCCAAUAACAGGACUCUCAGCUACAUCCUGCUAUUGACACUCUUCCUCUGUUUACUCAGUUCCUUGCUCUUCAUUGGACAGCCCAACACAACCACCUGCAUCUUGCAGCAGACAGCAUUUGGAAUUUUGUUCACUGUGGCUCUCUCCACAGUGUUGGCCAAAGCUAUUACAGUGGUUAUUGCAUUCAAGGCCACUGUUCCAGAUAGAAUGGUGAGAUGGUUAAUGAUAUCAAGAGCCCCUAAUUUCAUCAUUCCCAUCUGCACACUGAUACAACUAAUUAUCUGUGGGAUCUGGCUGGUUACCUCUCCACCCUUCAUUGAUCAAGAUACUCAGGCUGANCAUGGUCACAUCAUCAUUGUGUGCAACAUGGGUUCAACAGUUGCCUUCCACACUGUCCUGGGAUACCUCUGUUCCUUAGCACUUGGGAGCUACACCAUGGCCUUCUUAUCCAGAAAUCUGCCUGACACCUUCAAUGAAGCCAAGUUCCUGUCAUUCAGCAUGCAGGUAUUCUUCUGUGUUUGGAUCACCUUCCUCCCUGUCUAUCAUAGCACAAAGGGGAAGGUCAUGGUGGCUAUGGAAGUGUUCUCCAUCUUAGCUUCCAGUAUAGCACUCCUUGGACUGAUUUUUGCCCCCAAGUGCUACAUUAUUUUGUUAAGGCCAGAAAAGAACUCCUGUCUUGGCAUCAGGUACAAAAAAAAAUUCAAGAAGAAAU